AGCGAACGCUGGCGGCAGGCCUAACACAUGCAAGUCGAACGGACCCUUCGGGGUUAGUGGCGGACGGGUGAGUAACACGUGGGAACGUGCCUUUAGGUUCGGAAUAGCUCCUGGAAACGGGUGGUAAUGCCGAAUGUGCCCUUCGGGGGAAAGAUUUAUCGCCUUUAGAGCGGCCCGCGUCUGAUUAGCUAGUUGGUGAGGUAACGGCUCACCAAGGCGACGAUCAGUAGCUGGUCUGAGAGGAUGACCAGCCACACUGGGACUGAGACACGGCCCAGACUCCUACGGGAGGCAGCAGUGGGGAAUCUUGCGCAAUGGGCGAAAGCCUGACGCAGCCAUGCCGCGUGAAUGAUGAAGGUCUUAGGAUUGUAAAAUUCUUUCACCGGGGACGAUAAUGACGGUACCCGGAGAAGAAGCCCCGGCUAACUUCGUGCCAGCAGCCGCGGUAAUACGAAGGGGGCUAGCGUUGCUCGGAAUUACUGGGCGUAAAGGGCGCGUAGGCGGAUCGUUAAGUCAGAGGUGAAAUCCCAGGGCUCAACCCUGGAACUGCCUUUGAUACUGG
Molecule: ribosomal RNA, 562 nt
Filed under: uncultured bacterium
Lineage: Bacteria
Description: bacterial SSU rRNA
Rfam family: Bacterial small subunit ribosomal RNA
Source: RNAcentral